AAAAAAUGAUGAUUUGUUGUUAAAAUGAAUAACUUUCAUGAUUUGACCAACAAAUUUCCUCUAAGAAGAUCUGAUUU
Molecule: small nucleolar RNA, 77 nt
Filed under: Bombyx mori (domestic silkworm)
Lineage: Eukaryota; Metazoa; Arthropoda; Insecta; Lepidoptera; Bombycidae
Description: Bm_30
Source: RNAcentral